Molecule: ribosomal RNA, 301 nt
Filed under: uncultured bacterium
Lineage: Bacteria
Description: partial 16S ribosomal RNA
Rfam family: Bacterial small subunit ribosomal RNA
Source: RNAcentral
CAGCAGCCGCGGUAAUACGUAGGUGGCAAGCGUUAUCCGGAAUUAUUGGGCGUAAAGCGCGCGUAGGCGGUUUUUUAAGUCUGAUGUGAAAGCCCACGGCUCAACCGUGGAGGGUCAUUGGAAACUGGAAAACUUGAGUGCAGAAGGGGAAAGUGGAAUUCCAUGUGUAGCGGUGAAAUGCGCAGAGAUGUGGAGGAACACCAGUGGCGAAGACGACUCUCUGGUCUGUAACUGACGCUGAGGAGCGAAAGCGUGGGGAGCGAACAGGAUUAGAUACCCCGGUAGUCCCUGUCUCUUAUAC